GGUUGGCUCAGUUGGUUAGAGAGUAGUGCUGAAAAUGCCAAUAUUGCAGGUUCAGUCCCUGCAUGUGACA
Non-coding RNA from Podarcis lilfordi (Lilford's wall lizard), 70 nucleotides. NCBI's taxonomy places the organism in Eukaryota, Metazoa, Chordata, Lepidosauria, Squamata, Lacertidae. The record is from the annotation of a GenBank genome assembly.